RNAcentral lists this ribosomal RNA (484 nucleotides) under uncultured bacterium. RNAcentral's name for it is "partial 16S ribosomal RNA". It matches the Rfam family "Bacterial small subunit ribosomal RNA", at positions 29 to 523 of the family's 1533-position model. The record is from RNAcentral.
AGUGAACGCUGGCGGCGUGCUUAACACAUGCAAGUCGAACGAGAACGGGUUAUAGCUUGCUAUAAUUGUCAGCUAAGUGGCGCACGGGUGAGCAAUGUAUAGGUAAUAUGCCUCUUACUAAGGGAUAACAAAUGGAAACGUUUGCUAAUACCUUAUACUCCUUAUUAACAGAAGUUAGUAAGGGAAAGAUUUAUUGGUAAGAGAUUAGCCUGUAUUGUAUCAGUUAGUUGGUGGGGUAAUGGCUUACCAAGACUAUGACACAUAACUGGUUUGAGAGGAUGAUCAGUCACACUGGAACUGAGACACGGUCCAGACUCCUACGGGAGGCAGCAGUGGGGAAUAUUGCACAAUGGACGAAAGUCUGAUGCAGCAACGCCGCGUGGAGGAUGACACAUUUCGGUGCGUAAACUCCUUUUAUAUGAGAAGAUAAUGACGGUAUUAUAUGAAUAAGCACCGGCUAACUCCGUGCCAGCAGCCGCCGUAA